Molecule: transfer RNA, 86 nt
Filed under: Nocardioides kongjuensis
Lineage: Bacteria; Bacillati; Actinomycetota; Actinomycetes; Propionibacteriales; Nocardioidaceae
Also listed under: 3 other names
Rfam family: tRNA
About the family: Transfer RNA (tRNA) molecules are approximately 80 nucleotides in length.
Source: Rfam by way of RNAcentral
GGAGCUGUCGCCUAGUGGCCUAUGGCGCUCGCUUGGAAAGCGGGUUGGGUUAACAGCCCUCGGGGGUUCGAAUCCCCCCAGCUCCG